AAUAACACAUAUUGUAAGUCGCUCUGGAUAAGAGCGUCUGCUAAAUGACGUAAA
This is a non-coding RNA of Salmo salar (Atlantic salmon), 54 nucleotides long. NCBI's taxonomy places the organism in Eukaryota, Metazoa, Chordata, Actinopteri, Salmoniformes, Salmonidae. The record is from Rfam.